AAUAUACCCAGCUGAUGAAAGCUUUGAAAAACUGAGUAUAAUUCCUUAUUAAAAUUAAAAGCACAACCUGUUUUUUUUGUUUGUUUGUUUUUUUGUUCAAGCGAUUCUCCUGCCUCAUCCUUCGAAAUAGCUGGGAUAACAGGCUUGUGUCACCAUGCCUGGCUAAUUUUUGUAUUUUUAGUAGAGACGGGGUUUCACCAUGUUACUCAGGCUGGUCUCAAACUCCUGACCUCAGUGAUCCACUCGCCUCCGUCUUCGAAAUUGCUGGGAUUACAGGCGUGAGCCACCAUGCCCAGCCGACCUGUUAUUUUUGAAAGAAAGCUAACUUUAGGGAACUCAGUAUUUGCAUGGCACCAAAUUAUCACCCCAGGAUGACUAGCGAAUUGACAAAGGGAAAAUAUAUCUUAAUAGUAAAGAGAAUUGUGGUUGCCAUUACCUUAAUUUGGGAAUCAAACUUGGCAUCACUAAUAGUGAGAAAACCAGGCUCAAUGUGAUCCUGAUGCCAUGCACUAUGUUUUUAAAAUUUUUAUUAAAAAUUUUUUUUGUGAGAGAGCCUCUCGGUCUGUCACCCAGGUUGGAGGGCAGUGGCAUGAUCACAGCUCACUACAGCCUCCAACUCCUGGGCUCAAGCAUGAUCCUCUCAUCUCAGUUUCUUGAGUAGCUGAGACUACAGGUGUGAGCCACCAUGCCUGGCUGCUGCCAUGCAGUAUGAAGGAGAUAGCCUCAUCUAUGAGUAUUCUUCAAAAUGUGUAACCUGAAUCAAGUCAAGACUUUAGGUGUGUAGGCUAUACAGAGGAUGGAGGAACAAGUUAAGCCACUUUAAAGAAAGAAUCAAAAAGUCUAGAACUGGGGCCUUCUAUAAGACAGGCUUAGUACAGUACAAAAAAGUGAUGAAGACCAGGACUGGUUUUUUUUGUUUGUUUGUUUUGUUUUUUUUUAAGGCCUGGCCUUUUAAAAAAGUCAAUAGCAUGAGAAAAGGGGAAACAGGGCUGGGCUCUGGAUUAAAAAAGAUGGACGACAUGACAAUUGUCACAUGUGUUCCUUGAUUAGAUUCAAAAUUGGAAAAAAACUCUACAUAUACUGAGUUGAUCAUUAUACAAUUCUACAUGCAUUGAAACAUCACACUGUACUCCAUAAGAAUGUGCAAUUAUUAUGUAGCAAUUAUAAAUAAAAAUUAAUUUUAAAACAGUAUGUUCUUAAAAACCCUAUAAAACCAUGAUAAUCAUUUGAAUAUGGACUGCGUAUUAUAUGAUAUUAAGGAAUUACUGUGAAUUUAUUAAGUGGCAUAUAUUGGUAUUUGGUUAUGUUAAAAAGGUGUCCUCAUUUUUUUUUAAAUGUAUGCUGAAGUACUGGAGGGUGAUUGAUUUUAAAAUGGUCUAGCAACCACAAAAAAACAGAUGAAGCAAAGAUGGCAAAAUAAUAACAAUUAUUAAUUAAAUGUAUUGGGUUA
Molecule: long non-coding RNA, 1450 nt
Filed under: Homo sapiens (human)
Lineage: Eukaryota; Metazoa; Chordata; Mammalia; Primates; Hominidae
Description: non-protein coding lnc-SAP30-16:1
Source: RNAcentral